Long non-coding RNA from Bos taurus (domestic cattle), 980 nucleotides. The record is from Ensembl. Lineage: Eukaryota; Metazoa; Chordata; Mammalia; Artiodactyla; Bovidae.
GUAACACAGGUGAGGAAACAUGAAGGAAGUUCUCCUCGGGGUUUAGCCUCAGCUUGCUGGGAGGUUACUCUAUCAAUCAACUACUUCACUAGUCAGUCUCUGUACUUCUCUCAAUAAACAUUGAUUCGUGUCAGUAAAGUGUCUUGCACUGCUAAGACCUAGAGGAAAAAAAGAAGGAGAUAGAAGCUUUCUGGAGAAGACUGCUCAGUGGUCUGCUGGGAAGGCACGGAUGUACCACAUGGACCAUUAGAUUGCAUCUGACAAAGGCACAUCAGUGGGGAUGUACACUCUCUCACCCAGGGCUGAGGGAAUGUAUGAAACCCACAGAAGACGAGGAACCAAGUACAUCGGGGAUGACUCCUUGAUUUCUUAACCGGGCUCCAUCACUGGCUGCUUAUGUAACCCAGGCAAGACCUUCUUUGAAGCCAAUCACAUUCCGUGAUUAUGGAUUUUUUAAUCUAAUCAUAGUCCAUGAAUAUCCCAAUUUUCAUUUUCCCACCAAUUGCACCACGCUGCUGGAUCACAAGAUGUCUCAGCAGUAAAGAACUCACCUGCAGUGCAGAAGACUCAGGAGAUGCAGGCUCAGUCCCUGGGUUGGAAAGAUCCCCAGGAGGAGGGCAUGGCUACCCACUCCAGUAUUCCUGCCUGGAGAAUCCCAUGGACAGAGGAGCCUGGAAGGCUGCAGUCCACAGGGUUGCAAUGGAAGUGACUGAGUACACACAUAUAAGGGUCGUUUAUUAAGUACGAAAGCAGGACUUGAACCCAAGGCUCUGGAUCCAAGGUCCUCGUUCUUAACCUGGGGGCUUUGAUGCCCCUCAUUUCCCCUUCCAGCCACUUUCCUUCUGAGAUCCAGCCCCUCAACAAGUCUGUUCUCUCUCUGAUGACCUAGAGAUGACUGGCUCCUCCAUAUCCACUUGCUAGCUCUGGUCCAGAGCUGAACAGCAGGUGGAGCUGGGAUUCUUGAGAUGGGUGUAAGAGCU